AUUGAACGCUGGCGGCAUGCUUUACACAUGCAAGUCGAACGGCAGCGGGGGCUUCGGCCUGCCGGCGAGUGGCGAACGGGUGAGUAAUGCAUCGGAACGUGCCCAUGUCGUGGGGGAUAACGUAGCGAAAGCUACGCUAAUACCGCAUACGUCCUGAGGGAGAAAGCGGGGGGAUCUUAGGACCUCGCGCGAUUGGAGCGGCCGAUGUCGGAUUAGCUAGUAGGUGGGGUAAAGGCCCACCUAGGCGACGAUCCGUAGCGGGUCUGAGAGGAUGAUCCGCCACACUGGGACUGAGACACGGCCCAGACUCCUACGGGAGGCAGCAGUGGGGAAUUUUGGACAAUGGGCGCAAGCCUGAUCCAGCCAUGCCGCGUGAGUGAAGAAGGCCUCGGGUUGU
This 397-nucleotide ribosomal RNA is filed under the name uncultured bacterium. RNAcentral describes it as "bacterial SSU rRNA". It matches the Rfam family "Bacterial small subunit ribosomal RNA", at positions 28 to 426 of the family's 1533-position model. The record is from RNAcentral.